Molecule: ribosomal RNA, 410 nt
Filed under: uncultured bacterium
Lineage: Bacteria
Description: bacterial SSU rRNA
Rfam family: Bacterial small subunit ribosomal RNA
Source: RNAcentral
GGGCUCACACAAGCGGUGGAGCAUGUGGCUUAAUUCGAAGCAACGCGAAGAACCUUAUCCUGGGUUUGACAUGUACGGAUUAACUCCCUGAAAGGGGAGCCACGCCUUCGGGUGGAACGUACACAGGUGUUGCAUGGCUGUCGUCAGCUCGUGCUGUGAAGUGUCGGGUUAAGUCCCUUAACGAGCGCAACCCCUGUCGCUAGUUGCCAGCACAUAAUGGUGGGGACUCUAGCGAGACUGCCGGUGUUAAACCGGAGGAAGGUGGGGACGACGUCAAGUCCGCAUGGCCUUUAUGCCCAGGGCUGCACACGUGCUACAAUGGUAGGUACAGAACGACGCAAUACCGCGAGGUGGAGCAAAUCGCAAAAACCUGCCCCAGUUCGGAUUGGAGGCUGCAAUUCGCCUCCAUG